GACGAACGCUGGCGGCGUGCUUAACACAUGCAAGUCGAACGGAAAGGCCCUGCUUUUGUGGGGUGCUCGAGUGGCGAACGGGUGAGUAACACGUGAGUAACCUGCCCUUGACUUUGGGAUAACUUCAGGAAACUGGGGCUAAUACCGGAUAGGAGCUCCUGCUGCAUGGUGGGGGUUGGAAAGUUUCGGCGGUUGGGGAUGGACUCGCGGCUUAUCAGCUUGUUGGUGGGGUAGUGGCUUACCAAGGCUUUGACGGGUAGCCGGCCUGAGAGGGUGACCGGCCACAAUGGGACUGAGAUACGGCCCAGACUCCUACGGGAGGCAGCAGUGGGGAAUAUUGCACAAUGGGCGGAAGUCUGAUGCAGCAACGCCGCGUGCGGGAUGACGGCCUUCGGGUUGUAAACCGCUUUCGCCUGUGACGAAGCGCGAGUGACGGUAAUGGGUAAAGAAGCACCGGCUAACUACGUG
Molecule: ribosomal RNA, 468 nt
Filed under: uncultured bacterium
Lineage: Bacteria
Description: partial 16S ribosomal RNA
Rfam family: Bacterial small subunit ribosomal RNA
Source: RNAcentral